AGUCACUGCUAUUGGGAUUCGACUAAGCCAUGCGAGUCGAGAGGGUUCGGCCCUCGGCUGACGGCUCAGUAACACGUGGAUAAUCUGCCCUUAGGUGGAGGAUAACCUCGGGAAACUGAGAAUAAUACUCCAUAGGCCUAGGAUGCUGGAAUGCACUUAGGCUGAAAGUUCCGACGCCUAAGGAUGAGUCUGCGGACUAUCAGGUUGUAGUCAGGGUAAAGACCUGACUAGCCUACGACGGAUACGGGUUGUGAGAGCAAUAACCCGGAGAUGAUAUCUGAGACGCGAUAUCAGGCCCUACGGGGCGCAGCAGGCGCGAAAACUUCACACUGUGCGAAAGCACGAUGAGGGGAUCCCAAGUGCCAGCUCGUAAGAGUUGGCUGUUUUUCUGUCUAAAACGCAUAGAGAGUAAGGGCUGGGUAAGACGGGUGCCAGCCGCCGCGGUAAUACCUGCAGCUCAAGUGGUGACCGCUAUAUUGGGCCUAAAACGUUCGUAGCCGGUUUAGUAAAUGCCUGGGUAAAUCGUGUAGCUUAACUAUACGAAUUCCGGGUAGACUGCUAAACUUGAGACCGGGAGAGGCUAGAGGUACUUCUGGGGUAGAGGUGAAAUUCUGUAAUCCUAGGGGGACCACCAGUGGCGAAGGCGUCUAGCUAGAACGGGUCUGACGGUGAGGGACGAAGCCCUGGGGCGCAAACCGGAUUAGAUACCCGGGUAGUCCAGGGUGUAAACGCUGCUUGCUUGAUGUUAGUCGGGCUCUGAGCCCGAUUAGUGUCGGAGAGAAGUUGCUAAGCAAGCUGCCUGGGAAGUACGGUCGCAAGGCUGAAACUUAAAGGAAUUGGCGGGGGAGCACAGCAACGGGUGGAGCGUGCGGUUUA
RNAcentral lists this ribosomal RNA (876 nucleotides) under uncultured euryarchaeote. RNAcentral's name for it is "bacterial SSU rRNA". It matches the Rfam family "Archaeal small subunit ribosomal RNA", at positions 21 to 904 of the family's 1478-position model. Lineage: Archaea; Methanobacteriati; Methanobacteriota. The record is from RNAcentral.